Molecule: ribosomal RNA, 496 nt
Filed under: uncultured bacterium
Lineage: Bacteria
Description: partial 16S ribosomal RNA
Rfam family: Bacterial small subunit ribosomal RNA
Source: RNAcentral
AUGAACGCUGGCGGCGUGCCUAAUACAUGCAAGUCGAGCGAACAGAUGAGGAGCUUGCUCCUCUGACGUUAGCGGCGGACGGGUGAGUAACACGUGGAUAACCUACCUAUAAGACUGGGAUAACUUCGGGAAACCGGAGCUAAUACCGGAUAAUAUAUUGAACCGCAUGGUUCAAUAGGGAAAGACGGUUUUGCUGUCACUUAUAGAUGGAUCCGCGCCGCAUUAGCUAGUUGGUAAGGUAACGGCUUACCAAGGCAACGAUGCGUAGCCGACCUGAGAGGGUGAUCGGCCACACUGGAACUGAGACACGGUCCAGACUCCUACGGGAGGCAGCAGUAGGGAAUCUUCCGCAAAGGGCGAAAGCCUGACGGAGCAACGCCGCGUGAGUGAUGAAGGUCUUCGGAUCGUAAAACUCUGUUAUUAGGGAAGAACAAAUGUGUAAGUAACUAUGCACGUCUUGACGGUACCUAAUCAGAAAGCCACGGCUAACUACGUG